RNAcentral lists this ribosomal RNA (292 nucleotides) under uncultured bacterium. RNAcentral describes it as "partial 16S ribosomal RNA". It matches the Rfam family "Bacterial small subunit ribosomal RNA", at positions 333 to 622 of the family's 1533-position model. The record is from RNAcentral.
CAGUACCUACGGGAGGCAGCAGUGAGGAAUAUUGGUCAAUGGACGAGAGUCUGAACCAGCCAAGUAGCGUGAAGGAUGACUGCCCUAUGGGUUGUAAACUUCUUUUAUAUGGGAAUAAAAUGUUCCACGUGUGGGAUUUUGUAUGUACCAUAUGAAUAAGGAUCGGCUAACUCCGUGCCAGCAGCCGCGGUAAUACGGAGGAUCCGAGCGUUAUCCGGAUUUAUUGGGUUUAAAGGGAGCGUAGGUGGAUUGUUAAGUAAGUUGUGUAAGUGUGCGGCUCAACCGUAAAAUU